CCUACGGGGGGCAGCAGUGAGGAAUAUUGGUCAAUGGGCGGAAGCCUGAACCAGCCAAGCAGCGUGCAGGACGACGGCCCUACGGGUUGUAAACUGCUUUUAUACGGGAAUAACGCGCCUUACGUGUAGGGCUUUGCAUGUACCGUAUGAAUAAGGAUCGGCUAAUUCCGUGCCAGCAGCCGCGGUAAUACGGAAGGUCCGGGCGUUAUCCGGAUUUAUUGGGUUUAAAGGGGGCGUAGGCCGCCUGUCAAGCGUGCGGUGAAAUGUCCGGGCUCAACCCGGGCCCUGCAGCGGGUACUGGCGUGCUUGAGACCGCGGAAAGCAGGCGGAAUGCGUAGUGUAGCGGUGAAAUGCUUAGAUAUGACGCAGAACCCCGAUUGCGAAGGCAGCUUGCUGGAGCGGAACUGACGCUGAUGCUCGAAAGCGCGGGUAUCGAACAGGAUUAGAUACCCGAGUAGUC
This 460-nucleotide ribosomal RNA is filed under the name uncultured bacterium. Its description in RNAcentral is "partial 16S ribosomal RNA". It matches the Rfam family "Bacterial small subunit ribosomal RNA", at positions 338 to 795 of the family's 1533-position model. The record is from RNAcentral.